GAUGAACGCUGGCGGCGUGCCUAAUACAUGCAAGUCGAGCGAACAGACGAGGAGCUUGCUCCUCUGACGUUAGCGGCGGACGGGUGAGUAACACGUGGAUAACCUACCUAUAAGACUGGGAUAACUUCGGGAAACCGGAGCUAAUACCGGAUAAUAUAUUGAACCGCAUGGUUCAAUAGUGAAAGACGGUUUUGCUGUCACUUAUAGAUGGAUCCGCGCCGCAUUAGCUAGUUGGUAAGGUAACGGCUUACCAAGGCAACGAUGCGUAGCCGACCUGAGAGGGUGAUCGGCCACACUGGAACUGAGACACGGUCCAGACUCCUACGGUAGGCAGCAGUAGGGAAUCUUCCGCAAUGGGCGAAAGCCUGACGGAGCAACGCCGCGUGAGUGAUGAAGGUCUUCGGAUCGUAAAUCUCUGUUAUUAGGGAAGAACAAAUGUGUAAGUAACUAUGCACGUCUUGACGGUACCUAAUCAGAAAGCCACGGCUAACUACGUG
This 497-nucleotide ribosomal RNA is filed under the name uncultured bacterium. RNAcentral describes it as "partial 16S ribosomal RNA". It matches the Rfam family "Bacterial small subunit ribosomal RNA", at positions 28 to 507 of the family's 1533-position model. The record is from RNAcentral.